This is a long non-coding RNA of Oncorhynchus keta (chum salmon), 694 nucleotides long. RefSeq lists it as uncharacterized. The record is from RefSeq and is a predicted model, not a curated record. NCBI's taxonomy places the organism in Eukaryota, Metazoa, Chordata, Actinopteri, Salmoniformes, Salmonidae. The transcript is spliced from 4 exons.
UCUCCUACCUCAGGGUCAGGUGUAACCCGCGUCUCUCUCCUACCUCAGGGUCAGGUGUAACCCGCGUCUCUCUCCUACCUCAGGGUCAGGUGUAACCCGCGUCUCUCUCCUACCUCAGGGUCAGGUGUAACCCGCGUCUCUCUCCUACCUCAGGGUCAGGUGUAACCCGCGUCUCUCUCCUACCUCAGGGUCAGGUGUAACCCGCGUCUCUCUCCUACCUCAGGGUCAGGUGUAACCCGCGUCUCUCUCCUACCUCAGGGUCAGGUGUAACCCGCGUCUCUCUCCUACCUCAGGGUCAGGUGUAACCCGCGUCUCUCUCCUACCUCAGGGUCAGGUGUAACCCGCGUCUCUCUCCUACCUCAGGGUCAGGUGUAACCCGCGUCUCUCUCCUACCUCAGGGUCAGGUGUAACCCGCGUCUCUCUCCUACCUCAGGGUCAGGUGUAACCCGCGUCUCUCUCCUACCUCAGGGUCAGGUGUAACCCGCGUCUCUCUCCUACCUCAGGGUCAGGUGUAACCCGCGUCUCUCUCCUACCUCAGGGUCAGGUGUAACCCGCGUCUCUCCUACCUCAGGGUCAGGUGUAACCUGUGUCUCUCCUACCUCAGGGUCAGGUGUAACCGGUGUCUCUCCUACCUCAGGGUCAGGUGUAACCUGUGGUUCUUCUCCUGCAGCAACUCCUUCACAGGAAACAGAGC